GACUGGCUGCCUUGCAGGUGGAGAGCAGCAAGCAGCCUAGACGGAGCAGUGCUGCAGACAGAGACCCAGAGAGCUAAAGGCAGCUCCUGGCAGGCUGCAGGGAUCUGCAGAUUGAGGCCCUGAUGCAAGGGCAAAGAGGGUGCUGGAGCCACUGAUGGGAGUGGCUGGACAGUGGACUGCAGUCCUCCUGGAAGUGGGGGAAACAGAGUGUGGUACAGCUGGAGGGCUGUGUCACUGAAGAGGAUGCUGCGGUCCUGGGAGUGAUGUGGGUUGAGGAACAAAGGUGACAGCGGGUGAGACACCACCAGAAAAGGGUGCAGCACUAAUUCCCCAGACUGCCAGCAGGAGGUGCCGCAGUGUUUCACUGUAGCAGAAUGGCAGAAGUUUUACAGUUCCCAAUGCCUGUUUCGUAACUUACCUUAAAUCAGCGAGGCGUUGCUGAAGGAAUGCUGGGAAAUUGGAGCAAUGACAUCCCGAGGGCCCUAACCAUAAUGAAUGCUGGAGACCAGCUAUUGGGGACAAGCAGUGCCACGCAUCAGAAGGCAUCCAUGCAGCAACAUUCAGUGUUUUGUGACUUGCCCACACAAGGGACACUGCUGGCCGACC
Long non-coding RNA from Mauremys reevesii (Reeves's turtle), 606 nucleotides. RefSeq lists it as uncharacterized. The transcript is spliced from 3 exons. The record is from RefSeq and is a predicted model, not a curated record. NCBI's taxonomy places the organism in Eukaryota, Metazoa, Chordata, Testudines, Geoemydidae.